RNAcentral lists this unclassified non-coding RNA (455 nucleotides) under Actinomadura madurae. RNAcentral's name for it is "partial 16S-23S ribosomal RNA intergenic spacer region". Lineage: Bacteria; Bacillati; Actinomycetota; Actinomycetes; Streptosporangiales; Thermomonosporaceae. The record is from RNAcentral.
AAGGAGCACCAACUGGCCCGCGUCGACCCAACCCCCUCGGGGGGCGGGUGCGCAGGUCGGUGGCCGCCGUUGACAGCGGAUGUCUGUCAGGUGGCUGCUCAUAGAUGUGGAGCACUGGCUACUCAGCUCACCGCUCGUGUGAGCCGGCAAGUACCGCCUCCCAGACCCGUGGGGGUGUUGGGGGGAGUGGGAACGGCGGUGUCGGGCGGGUGGUGGGUUGGACACGCUGUUGGGUCCUGAGGGAACGGGCGCAAGCCCGGGUGACCUCGGACUGCGGGACCAGGACCGCAUUCCUUUGUCGGGGGUGUGGUUUUGGUGGGCCCGGUUGUUUUUUGAGAACUGCACAGUGGACGCGAGCAUCUCUGGCGAAUGAUGAGAGUUGCGCGGGGAGCCCUUUUGGGGGUUUCUUCGGGUUGUUCUUGUUGUUUAUCUGCGAUUUGUUUUGAUCGUUUUGU